This is a long non-coding RNA of Daphnia magna, 1804 nucleotides long. RefSeq lists it as uncharacterized. Lineage: Eukaryota; Metazoa; Arthropoda; Branchiopoda; Diplostraca; Daphniidae. The transcript is spliced from 4 exons. The record is from RefSeq and is a predicted model, not a curated record.
CCGGUUACUAUUGCCGUAUUUUAGGAGGGACAGCAAAUCUUCGGCGCCAUUUGGUUUUACCAAAGACAGGCCUGUCACAGUGAUACCAUCGUUACCGUUGUCUCUAAUAGUCAAAAAAUUUGACUGAGCCAAUAAUUUUAGAGAGCUUCACAUGCAUUUGUUCAACAAAAAGUUCACCUCAAGGUAAGAUACAGAAAUCUCGAAUUUUUUAACUCCACGGAGCUCUUCCAUUCGGCGGUAAAGAUCCAUGACAGUUAGAAAAAUUAUACCAGGAUUUUGUUGUGUUCCAAGCAUAGCUGUCUGAGGGCCAGGCAGUGAUCUUGGUUUACCAGAACAGUUGAACCCUUCUAGAACAGCAUCAACAACUGCUUUUGUAGUUCCUUCAAAAACUUCCUCAUUAGUUGCUUCAGGUGCAAAGACAGCAUCAAAUGCAAAGUGUGCAUCUUUAUGCGCUUUUUUUGUAAAAUCUCUAUUGUUUUGUUUAACUCCAUGAAUUCCUUUAAGGAGAAAAAAUUUAUACAAAUGGACAAUCAAAUUUAAGGCUGGACAUACCUUGAACUAGUUGAUUUUUCUCGUUCAUUAAAAGGUCUGACUCUAACUGCAACUCUAAUAUUUGAACUUUGAAUUUCAGCAGAACCACUAAUUCCCUCUCCAAGUGUACUUCGAAGAAUGACAUUAUUGCUGUUUUGCCGUCUCACCAGUCCUGUGCGGGGGGAAUUCCUCACCUGGCGAAGUGGUGGUUUCAUCGUGUGUACUGUUUAAGAUCUUGUGGUAUCUAUAUAGAUGAAGAUAAUUUUAAAAAACCAAUUUAAAGCAAGCUGCAAGCAAUAUUAUUAGGUAAAAUUUUUCAAAAGACAUCCAGUGUUAAAGCAUUAGAAGACUUAAAUAUGCUAACGUUAAAUAGAAGGAGAUAAUCGUCGGCGAUUCUUUUUAGUUUCGUUAACGAGUCUAGUUGAGUAUGUUAAAUACUAAUUUGAAUCUCACCAGUUUUCGAUUAUUGAAGAGUUUCGCAGUCGCCAACCGCUAAUCUAUAUGGCAGUCGAUUAUUAUUAUUUAAACUUGCGGGGACGAUCAAAACAAGUCUUGAAGCCAACGACACAAAAAACAUAAAUGGGAUUUGGAGGGAACUCAAACUGACCGUUGAAGAACGCUCGCUGUUUUCAAAAAACUAAGCUAUCGAUAUAGUAUCCAGCGGUGUACCGAAAACUAAAUAGCAUGGUUGCCAGAUGUCGAAAAGCCUGCAUUGGACCAUGGUGCCUAAAUGCUGUCUGCUACCAGAGUCUCUGCUGCUACUGUCUCUGGCUGUCCGCUUAAGAAAAUUUGGAAAUGUCACUUCUCACUUUAUCUGGUUCUGUACACUGUACCUCUUCGUUGCAUUUAGUUUUCUUUUUUUUUCUUCACAUACUGGGCAGAGAAUAUACCUCCUUUCUCUAUGUUACCGUUUACAAUUAAACAUUAAAUUGUCCAUUGGCACCCUGAAUUUAACAUGAAACCACAGAUCGUAUAGAAAUACUAUCUAUGAUCCCCGUAUCAUUGCUCAAGAUGUGAGUUCGAUUCUGGACCGAGAACCAAAUGUAACAAUUUCCAUCCCUUUUCUAUUUAUUAAAGAGGGCUGAGGGUCAUUUCCCCCCCCCCCCCUUAUUUGAAAUGUAAAGAAGAAUCUACCUUGAAUUUGAUAGGCCUACAGGUGGAUUGAUUUGGCGCCAUUAGUUACUAACAAAAGUUAUAACUUUCGUACAGAAAAUGUUGUAAAAACUUACAAAAUACAAAAACAGAACACACGUUGGCUGUGUCAAGAACAUAA